Molecule: ribosomal RNA, 497 nt
Filed under: uncultured bacterium
Lineage: Bacteria
Description: partial 16S ribosomal RNA
Rfam family: Bacterial small subunit ribosomal RNA
Source: RNAcentral
GAUGAACGCUGGCGGCGUGCCUAAUACAUGCAAGUCGAGCGAACGGACGAGAAGCUUGCUUCUCUGAUGUUAGCGGCGGACGGGUGAGUAACACGUGGAUAACCUACCUAUAAGACUGGGAUAACUUCGGGAAACCGGAGCUAAUACCGGAUAAUAUUUUGAACCGCAUGGUUCAAAAGUGAAAGACGGUCUUGCUGUCACUUAUAGAUGGAUCCGCGCUGCAUUAGCUAGUUGGUAAGGUAACGGCUUACCAAGGCGACGAUGCAUAGCCGACCUGAGAGGGUGAUCGGCCACACUGGAACUGAGACUCGGUCCAGACACCUACGGGAGGCCGCAGUAGGGAAUCUUACGCGAUGGGCGAGAGCCUGACGGAGCAACGCCGCGUGAGUGAUGAAGGUCUUCGGAUCGGAAAACUCUGUUAGUAGGAAAGAACAUAUGUGUUAGUAACUGUGCACAUCUUGACGGUACCUAAUCAGAAAGCCACGGCUAACUACGUG